Molecule: long non-coding RNA, 623 nt
Organism: Homo sapiens (human)
Lineage: Eukaryota; Metazoa; Chordata; Mammalia; Primates; Hominidae
Exons: 2
Source: RefSeq, a predicted model, not a curated record
AGGAUUCUUUGAGGCCAGGAGUUUGAGACCAGCCUGGGAAACAGUGAGACCCCAUUAAAAAAAAAAAAUUGUGAUUAAAUUUCUUCAUAUGCAAACACCAUUUAAAAAGAUUUAUCUUAUUUCUGAUCAUCUCUGCAACUGAACAGGAAACUAAAAAACCACAACACUUAAAAGACAACUUCCUGUGGGAUUUUUGGUGUCUGCGGCUCAGAAUGAAAAAAGCAUUAUGUGUGCAAAAUCUUUACACAUUUUAGAUAGAACUACUUAAUAAAACAGCCUUGACCAAAUGAACAACUAUAUCCACACCUAAUUUGUAUAUAUGUAUAUGUAUGGUUUUAAUUGCAAAAAAGAUCCUUAGGAAAGCAUAUUUAUGUUAUUUUUAUAUGAACUGUGAGUUUACGCUUGACAAAGAGGAAGUAUUUAUUUACGGUAGUGAAGCAUUAGACAAUCUCGAUAAUGUCAGAGAAGAGAAUAUAUACAAAAUAUUAGAAGGAGAAGCACUUUAUCAAGAUGUUAUAACAACCAAAAGUAAUCCUGAUUCCACUCCUAUGCCAUACCAUUAAAGAUUCUACAAAUUGUUACAGAAUUUUCCUCUGCCAAUAAAGUCAUGUAACAAUGUUAAA